AGAUGUGAGGGCAGUCCAGCUGCAGCAUCUGUCACCCCAUUGCUCGCCAGGGCUGAUUCAUUCGGCUUAUCUGGCUGGCUAGGUGAGCGUCUGUCUGCUUCCUCUCUCAUUGCUCUGUGUGUGUCUGUUCCUCCCGUGUUGCAUGCUCCAAGCUCCCAAUAGAGGAGCUUGGAGCAUGCAACCGUUUCCUCGGUCAGGGGUGUACGAGUAGCUGAGCUCCCUGCUAGACCCUCCAAACAAGCUCUCAAAAACUACAGUGUUAUAUGUGUACUGUACAAAAAAAGACACUGAGGCUUUAUAAAUAGGUUGUACAGAACUGUACAAAAAUAU
Molecule: small nuclear RNA, 330 nt
Filed under: Chinchilla lanigera (long-tailed chinchilla)
Lineage: Eukaryota; Metazoa; Chordata; Mammalia; Rodentia; Chinchillidae
Description: 7SK RNA (ENSCLAG00000021765.1)
Rfam family: 7SK RNA
About the family: 7SK was discovered as an abundant small nuclear RNA in the mid-70s but a possible function has only recently been suggested. Two independent studies have found that 7SK RNA binds the CDK9/cyclin T complex (known as elongation factor P-TEFb).
Source: Rfam by way of RNAcentral